Long non-coding RNA from Cryptotermes secundus, 4295 nucleotides. RefSeq lists it as uncharacterized. The record is from RefSeq and is a predicted model, not a curated record. NCBI's taxonomy places the organism in Eukaryota, Metazoa, Arthropoda, Insecta, Blattodea, Kalotermitidae. The transcript is spliced from 3 exons.
AUGACGGAGGAACUGGUGUUCGAUUCCAGGCAGAGGUAGAAUGAUACCGACGUUUCGGAGGAACUUUUUCCUCCCAUCUCCAUUAUAAGAGUAACCCGCGGGGAGAAAGCAAGAAACGAAACUGGGCUGCAAAAGGAACAACAUGAGAAGGCAAGGCCAAACGCUUGAUAAAAAAAGUGCAUCCCAGCUGCAAAACAGACGUUGGAUGGUGGGCGUGACCCUACAAGUGCAACCAGGGAAGGCAGACAAGACGAAAUGGCAUGUUGACGAGUAAUGGAGCAUAGACCAAGACAAUGUCCUGCCCCAGACUCGCCGAACCAGCCUUUGUUAUUGCAGAACUGAGACACUCAGAUUUGACGUUCUGGCAAACUAGAACUGUGAAAAGUAAAAUUUGCUGGUAAAUGGUGCUGUAUAAUUUGGUAGACGGCGACGGAGAUCUCGGAGUAGUGCAGUGCUUCUAUCUUCACGGUUGUAUAAGCGGAGCAAGCAAGCAACCAGUCAAGUAGGGGAAUCAGCACUGAAGUUCACCAAUUGAUACUAAGCUGAUUAUCUAGUAAUUCCAGCAACAAAGGCUCAAUUUGAAUAUUAUCAGCCCAACACCCCCGUGCUUCACGUGGACUUCUCUCCAAGCAGUUUCCAUACUAAAUUUCUAUAUGUUUGUAACUUCUAGGGUCAUCCAAAGGAAGCGUCUAACGUAAGUCUUUUAGAGUCUAAUAUCCCCAGAUCUUUUACGAUGAGGACGCUGUAACCUUGGGCUACAUCUGGGGGGUUCCUUAUCGGAUGUACGAGACUGCUUAUUCAGUGCACUUCCAAGCGCAUGCGUCCUUAAUAAGCUUCAUGGCACAGACUCUAGAAUAACUUUCAGUAAAACAUCGCUCAGUAUACAAAGAAAUAACUCAUCACGGAGGUAAUGAUGUAUUCCCGUGUGUACGAAAGUUCCUGAACUAUCGUUCUCAUGUUUAUGUGACCACAAAGAAUUUUAUCACGAUUUCAAAUAAAAUAAAUAAGGCGAAAUCUUCCUUGUAAAUAUAAGUAACUAGUCUGGAACCUAUUUCUUUGGAACAUAAAAAAUCACACUUAUUAAGCAGCAAAUUAUCGCUCAACACCGCGGCGUGUAGACUCGUUGCUGGGCAACGGUCAUAAAACGACGCCCGUUGCUGGAGCAGCGGAUUCUUAAUGAAGGUGUUACGCAACCUGUUACUGUGUAACGCGAACAUAUUCCCGCGGAAACGGUUAGAAUACGAGAAUGGGCGGUGUUUUCUAUGUAGUCCGUGCUGAGGAGUUACCUUGAAGAAAAUUGAGGCGGUCCAAGUUUGUUCAGUUUUGCACGAGAGGCUGUUAAGAUAGAACCUGAACGUAUGAAACUGAAGAAUCUCCACUAUUAGAAGCCGUUGUCAGGGAACAGCUGGUGAAAACAUACCAGGCUGGAAAAAGAUUAGUGGGUAGUGUGGGGAUUAGCGGUGGCGCUGUAACUAUUUCUACUUCCGGGUCGUAUGUAUAAGUGAUCGAUAAAUACAAUAUCUAAUCCCAAACCCCGUCGAAAGUUACCCUUGUAGUUUGUAGACACCUGAACAAAAGGAAUAGAGGCCAACAGCGAUUGUGAACGAGAGACCUAUCCUCUCGUAAGAGAGGAUGUUACAUGAGGACUAUAACCACGAGUGUUCGGUUAAAAAUAGUACUGGUCGUGGGUCUCAAGGGACUUGUCGCCAAGACGAACUGAUUGGCGGUAAACCACUAGUCGUAAGUAACUGUGACUCUGAAUCUUACGGACAUCUGGUAGCGCUCCUUUUGCGGGAGAUCAGCCCGUCGCAAGGCCUCUACCCAUACACUACAAUACAAACAGAAGAAACCUUGACAACUACACGUCGAGUGGCUUUGGAAUCCAAGAUCUCAGUUUGUAUGAUUUGAGAUUGCCAGAGCGGUGGUUAUGGGUUAAAACGCUGUUGAGUCCACUGAAAGUCAACCUACGUUUCGAUGUUUCUCCGAAACUUCGGUUCAAGAUCCUGGUGUUCGAGAGACGAAGACAGGACUUGUAGAUAUGGAGGCCACUGUCCUUUAUAUUUGCAUAGGAGUGUCACUCAACCUCUUACUUGAAACCAGCUUCAGAUGUGCCACCAAUAUGGCUCCAAGAAACAAAUAUUAGGGAGGAGUGGCCAAAGUGCGGUGGGAAACUGAAGAUCCACUCUUGCGUUACUGUAAAGUGCCAUUAAAAAUUAAGCUGUGGUGAGACUGUGUGGGCUGGAAGGAAACAUUCACACAUAGACAUACAGCUGAAGACGUGGGAUUGGCAGCAAAACUGAAGUGACCACGUAUUUCCCCAUUCAUUGGCGAUUCAGGAGAAGUAGGUCCUGUGUAGAAACGACAAGCAGACAAACCCGACUCUUGUUUAUCAAUACAACACUGAACUUUGGCAUCCCACACGGUUUACAACGAAGUCCUCAAUGGGAACUAAUAAUAAGAAAGCUGUCUUAGGGUACUUCGUCGACUUUUCGGGGGAAAGCCUACUGCCUACAUUUUCAGUGUAGAAGAACAAACAGCGUUUUACUUGCCUCGGUUGCUGGCUUACUCUUCGGCCCUGAAGAUGGGGGCAGUACGUUAUACCAGACACGACGAAGCAAACAGACGCUUUCGUAAUCGUUCCGAACGAGCCUAAAAUCGUUGCAGAAUAACUGCAAGUUGUAACGUAGGCCCUGUGCUGAGUCGAUUAAGUACAAGACCAUGAAGACCUGUGAGGGGAGUGGAGGUAUAGCUUCAGACCGGCCUCCUAUCCAAUGGGCAUUGAGGUUGUUUCCCCGUGGUAAAAGGGCCAGGAGCGUGAAGCUGGCCACUCAUCUCCAUCCAGUGCCGGGAUUAAGAAUAAUUGCGAGGAAUGGGAUAAAGGAAUCUGGUUCAGAAUAGGAUCGGUGGCGUGCUUUUGUUUUCACGGCAAUGGAGCUUGCGUUUCCAUGACGUAACUAAACGCUAACGAGCUGGAAAACAAUCAGCGAAAUCAUUCCGCAUGCUUCCUCACAUACGUCUGACUUUGUCUAUACCACUGAAAGUAAAAGCGUCUGUUGUCUGGUACAACAUUUCUAGUAGCGCAAUACCAAAAAACGACGAAAUUCGUCUGACCGACAAAGCCCGGUUCCGACAAAAUCAACAUUUCACGACUGGGGCCUUAGCGGUUGAGCCGCCAUCUUCGUGCACAUUCUCGUAUAUAUAGUUCUAUUUAUAGAGCAGGUCUCCAUACAUGACUGAAAUUUAGUCGAAAUCCUUAGAACCUAUCGAAAUGUGUAUGCAUAAAGUGCAACAAAUUCAAUCACCCAAUUCAAAAUCAUUCUUAUAAUCCCUUACGCGUGAAAACAUUCACCGGGAAUCGAGCUAUGACCGCUAAACUCUUAAAUACCAAUUGCAAAUAAAGGUAGCGAGGCGCGCAGGUGUCCUUCCAGCUAUUCAUACAGACGGCAUGCCGAAAACCACUAUUUUGUAUUCUGAGGGGCCCAAAACGUGUCAAUCCGUCAAAAUACCGCGAUGGCUUCAUUCACAUCCGCAGUAUUUUCUCGCAAAUAUACUGCGGAUGUGAGAAAGUGAGGGUACUCUGUCCCAUAGUGAAACUGAUGGCCUAAUAAUUUUUAAUCCUGAGAAAACUUAGAUGAAGUGGUACAGCGUUACAUACGUAGACCGUUUACGAUUGGUUGUUCUUGGAGUAAAAACUGCCCCCAUUCGUUAUACAACAUGUCAAGUCAGUCCUGAGUCAUGUCAACGUCCGGACUAGGAAUCCCUGAUACAGAUAAUUAUGUUAAACCUGUCUGGUAGAAGCGCCGGCAUCAACAAGGGUCACGGUCAAGGAGCGAUCGACAUCAGACAUAACACAAUUACACACCGAGGCAGCACUUGACCAUGAGAACAUACAGGGUGUUACAUUUAUGGGGAACAUGGAAAAUGCAUUGUGGCGUAUUUGCUUCAUGCAAGGCCGGUUGAGUCACAGAAACAGCAGGUUCUAAGUAAUACACGCAACAAUACAACAACGGGAUUAUGAAAUCCGUUUAUAGGCAACGGCUAGGUAAACACAUUUCCGCGUCUCGGACCGUGCUAUGCAAUGAGGCGACGUCAUCAACAAUACGUACUGUGUUUUCCUGAAGUCUGUGCAGAGUGUUUAUAAGAGAAGUAAAUUCAGAAGCUAGAAGGACGAGAAUGGAGCAUGUCCUUAGUGAAUUGUGAACUUGAAUACAGAUUAGGACAGAAAAGUAAAAGUAACUGAAGACAAGAAGAUUUUAUAGUUAUCUGAAGUGCUAGUUUCUGUUUGGAGAUCCGUU